GAAAUGCGAUAAGUAAUGUGAAUUGCAGAAUUCAGUGAAUCAUCGAAUCUUUGAACGCACAUUGCGCCCCCUGGUAUUCCGGGGGGCAUGCCUGUUCGAGCGUCAUUUCACCUCUCAAGCCUCGCUUGGUAUUGGGCAACGCGGUCCGCCGCGUGCCUCAAAUCGACCGGCUGGGUCUUCUGUCCCCUAAGCGUUGUGGAAACUAUUCGCUAAAGGGUGCUCGGGAGGCUACGCCGUAAAACAAACCCAUUUCUAAGGUUGACCUCGGAUCAGGUAGGGAUACCCGCUGAACUUAAGC
RNAcentral lists this unclassified non-coding RNA (298 nucleotides) under plant metagenome. Its description in RNAcentral is "partial contains 5.8S ribosomal RNA, internal transcribed spacer 2, and large subunit ribosomal RNA". The stretch from base 1 to 105 matches the Rfam family "5.8S ribosomal RNA", at positions 50 to 154 of the family's 154-position model. The record is from RNAcentral.